UACGUAGGUGGCGAGCGUUGUCCGGAUUUACUGGGCGUAAAGAGCGCGCAGGCGGUCGUGCAAGUCGCGUGUGAAAGCCCCCGGCUCAACUGGGGAGGGUCACGCGAUACUGCUCGACUUGAAGGCAGGAGAGGGAAGUGGAAUUCCCGGUGUAGUGGUGAAAUGCGUAGAUAUCGGAAGGAACGCCGGUGGCGAAAGCGGCGUGCUGGACCUCUUCUGACGCUGAGGCGCGAAAGCUAGGGGAGCAAACGGG
This 253-nucleotide ribosomal RNA is filed under the name uncultured bacterium. RNAcentral describes it as "partial 16S ribosomal RNA". It matches the Rfam family "Bacterial small subunit ribosomal RNA", at positions 524 to 776 of the family's 1533-position model. The record is from RNAcentral.